This 510-nucleotide long non-coding RNA is filed under the name Phoenix dactylifera (date palm). Its description in RNAcentral is "long non-coding RNA (PDAC_LNC021182)". Lineage: Eukaryota; Viridiplantae; Streptophyta; Magnoliopsida; Arecales; Arecaceae. The record is from RNAcentral.
CGAAUCCAAGAACAAAGCUCCCCUUUUUACACAGAAUCUCCCAACGUUCACGCUGCUUCCCUGCUUCAAGAUCAAUUCAAAUCCUCCCCAUUCUUUGCGAUUUAUCCUCAUCUUCUCUCAACCGUGUUCAUCUUCCCAUCGACCUACGGUCCCAUGUCAUCCGUAUCAUCCCAGAUUUCAUCCAAGAGCCAUCCAAGCCUUCUCCGCAUCAUUCCAAUAUCCCACAGAUUAGCUCCCCUGUUCCCAGCUGUCCACAUGUGAGGUCCCAGCAUCCUUAUCCUCUCCUCAUUCCGUGGAUCAGCAUUCCAUCUCCUCCCGGCGACUCAACUCUAUCCCAUGAACAGCCUUCGGAUCAGCUUCAUCCCGAAUUCCAUGGAUUAACAGCUUCCCUUCUUCAUCCAAACUUCCAGCUCAUAUUUCCUCCAUUACCAUUCAGCUCCAUUAACAAAAAAAUCCAAGCUUAUCCCCUGUUUCAUGCGUCUUCUUCUCAGCCGCUUCCCAAACCGAGAU